Molecule: long non-coding RNA, 767 nt
Organism: Manihot esculenta (cassava)
Lineage: Eukaryota; Viridiplantae; Streptophyta; Magnoliopsida; Malpighiales; Euphorbiaceae
Exons: 2
Source: RefSeq, a predicted model, not a curated record
UCUAUAAAAUAAAAUAUACAAAUAUAUGCAUAUCAAAUUGAUUUGAGAAAAAAACCCUCUAUAAACUAGGUUGUCGAACUCUCUCUCGUUUUUUGUUCUCCUUUUAGGCGAAAGGCUUUCUGCUGUAAUAGGCAGUUUCCAUCCGCCCAGAGAGGCCUCCUCCCCUAAUCAGUACCUGCAGCCAAAUUCUCCAUAUUUGGCGGAAAGUGAUGGAUGGUGGUUCGUGAGGAAAAACUCGAGAGGUGUGUGUUUGGUCCCCGAAAAAGGCACUUCCUGACCAUUCGCUUUGCUCUGUCAGAUCUGCGAAGGCUCCCCUUGUUCCUUGGAUCGGUGGCUGUUGUGUUGGUUGUUAUGAACAUCUUCCCAUUGUAACAACAUGCCCCACCCCCACCUUUUCCUCUCUAGAUUCGAUUGUGCAUGUGGAAGAUAUGUUGUUUCAACACGCUUCUCUUCUGCUAUGAUUUUCCUAAUUUCUCUCUGGAUUUUCUCUAUUCUUCAGUUUGCUUUGAUAACUUUUGGGUUGUGUUGUAGGAGAAUCUGACAUUCAAUAUUGAUUCAGCUCUUGACGACUGGAGCUUCCUCUGGCAAUGGUGGGACAGCGCUGUUGUUAUUGUGAAUCGAAUCUAGUUGUGUUGGAUCAUGAGUACCAGGCCCUAGGGUUCCUGUUCUCUAAGUGGAUUUAGUUUUUCUGUUGGACCCUAAAAGCUUUUGUUGUUGUUUCUUUGUUCUUCUAUAUCCAUGGGGCCUUUGGACUCACCCUUAUAUUG